This is a long non-coding RNA of Suricata suricatta (meerkat), 462 nucleotides long. RefSeq lists it as uncharacterized. NCBI's taxonomy places the organism in Eukaryota, Metazoa, Chordata, Mammalia, Carnivora, Herpestidae. The record is from RefSeq and is a predicted model, not a curated record. The transcript has 3 exons.
CGCUUGUGAUGCGCAGUCUCCGGACCUCCCACCGGCCUCGCUCAGCGCUGGGCAGAUAAGCGGAUAAGCCACGUGACGGCACAUGAAAGGCGUGGUGCGGGGCUCGGCAAUGAUAACCCGGUGGAGGGUGCUAUCUGGAGAGGAAGCCCUGUGCUAGGAGGUGGGGACAUGGUGGGAAAAAGAGCAACCCAGCUUCACAGAGGGGACAGUCCAGCCAAACCAUCCUUCAUUUGACUUUAUCAUUUGUUCCCUCAGUGAAUAAAUAUGUGCCAUGCUGUCAGCUCAUGGAAGCAGGCCCUCUUCACCUCAUCAGUCCUCAGUAAUCUGCCUUCAGACCCCUUGGGACUGGCUCCCGUCAACCCCUGUCAGCCUCUGCUGCCCACGGGGACCUGGAGGCCAAGCUGCUGAUUGGAGAUGGAGGCAGAUGGGAUGGGCAUGGGCAGGCUGGGCUCCCACACUGCC